UACAGAGGUGGCAAGCGUUGUUCGGAUUUACUGGGCGUAAAGGGUUCGUAGGCGGUUCGGAAAGUCAAAUGUGAAAUCCCACAGCUCAACUGUGGAACUGCAUUUGAAACUCCCGGACUAGAGUAUGAGAGGGGUAAAAGGAAUUCCCGGUGUAAGGGUGAAAUCUGCAGAGAUCGGGAGGAACACCAGUCGCGAAGGCGUUUUACUGGCUCAUUACUGACGCUCAGGAACGAAAGCUAGGGGAGCAAACGGG
This 253-nucleotide ribosomal RNA is filed under the name uncultured bacterium. RNAcentral describes it as "partial 16S ribosomal RNA". It matches the Rfam family "Bacterial small subunit ribosomal RNA", at positions 524 to 776 of the family's 1533-position model. The record is from RNAcentral.